ACGGCGAGUGAAGCGGGAACAGCUCAAAUUUGAAAUCUGGCCCUUGGGUCCGAGUUGUAAUUUGCAGAGGAUGCUUUUGGUGCGGUGCCUUCCGAGUUCCCUGGAACGGGACGCCUUAGAGGGUGAGAGCCCCGUACGGUUGGCCACCAAGCCUGUGUAAAGCUCCUUCGACGAGUCGAGUAGUUUGGGAAUGCUGCUCAAAAUGGGAGGUAUAUUUCUUCUAAAGCUAAAUACUGGCCAGAGACCGAUAGCGCACAAGUAGAGUGAUCGAAAGAUGAAAAGCACUUUGAAAAGAGGGUUAAAUAGCACGUGAAAUUGUUGAAAGGGAAGGAUUUAUGACCAGACUUUUUCUGGGGGGAUCAUCCGGUGUUCUCACCGGUGCACUUCCCCCAGUUGAGGCCAGCAUCGGUUUCUGCCGGGGGAUAAAAGCUUUGGGAAUGUGGCUCCUUCGGGAGUGUUAUAGCCCGUUGCAUAAUACCCUGGCGGGGACCGAGGUUCGCGCAUUGCAAGGAUGCUGGCGUAAUGGUUAUUAAUCACCCGUCA
This 543-nucleotide ribosomal RNA is filed under the name Apiospora arundinis. Its description in RNAcentral is "Arthrinium arundinis partial large subunit ribosomal RNA". It matches the Rfam family "Eukaryotic large subunit ribosomal RNA", at positions 86 to 654 of the family's 3401-position model. The record is from RNAcentral. Lineage: Eukaryota; Fungi; Ascomycota; Sordariomycetes; Amphisphaeriales; Apiosporaceae.